UACAGAGGUCCCAAGCGUUGUUCGGAUUCACUGGGCGUAAAGGGUGCGUAGGUGGCCAGGUAAGUUCGGUGUGAAAGCUCGGAGCUUAACUCCGAAAUGGCAUUGAAUACUAUCUGGCUAGAGGGUCGGAGGGGAGACUGGAAUUCUCGGUGUAGCAGUGAAAUGCGUAGAUAUCGAGAGGAACACCAGUGGCGAAGGCGAGUCUCUGGACGACUCCUGACACUGAGGCACGAAAGCCAGGGGAGCAAACGGG
Molecule: ribosomal RNA, 253 nt
Filed under: uncultured bacterium
Lineage: Bacteria
Description: partial 16S ribosomal RNA
Rfam family: Bacterial small subunit ribosomal RNA
Source: RNAcentral